AGAGUUUGAUCAUGGCUCAGAUUGAACGCUGGCGGCAUGCUUUACACAUGCAAGUCGAACGGUAACGCGGGGGCAACCCUGGCGACGAGUGGCGAACGGGUGAGUAAUACAUCGGAACGUGUCCUGAGGUGGGGGAUAACCUAUCGAAAGGUAGGCUAAUACCGCAUACGCUCGGGAGAGGAAAGCGGGGGAUCGGUAACGACCUCGCGCUGCAGGAGUGGCCGAUGUCCGAUUAGCUAGUUGGUGGGGUAAAGGCUUACCAAGGCGACGAUCGGUAGCUGGUCUGAGAGGAUGAUCAGCCACACUGGGACUGAGACACGGCCCAGACUCCUACGGGAGGCAGCAGUGGGGAAUUUUGGACAAUGGGGGCAACCCUGAUCCAGCCAUGCCGCGUGAGUGAAGAAGGCCUUCGGGUUGUAAAGCUCUUUCGGUGGGAACGAAACGGUUACCACUAACACUGGUGACUACUGACGGUACUCACAGAAGAAGCACCGGCUAACUACGUGCCAGCAGCCGCGGUAAUACGUAGGGUGCGAGCGUUAAUCGGAAUUACUGGGCGUAAAGCGUGCGCAGGCGGUGGCUCAAGCCAGGCGUGAAAUCCCCGGGCUUAACCUGGGAAUGGCGUUUGGGACUGGGUCGCUAGAGUGUGGCAGAGGGAGGUGGAAUUCCACGUGUAGCAGUGAAAUGCGUAGAGAUGUGGAGGAACACCGAUGGCGAAGGCAGCCUCCUGGGCCAGCACUGACGCUCAUGCACGAAAGCGUGGGGAGCAAACAGGAUUAGAUACCCUAGUAGUCC
RNAcentral lists this ribosomal RNA (795 nucleotides) under uncultured bacterium. RNAcentral describes it as "bacterial SSU rRNA". It matches the Rfam family "Bacterial small subunit ribosomal RNA", at positions 8 to 796 of the family's 1533-position model. The record is from RNAcentral.